This is a long non-coding RNA of Hemiscyllium ocellatum (epaulette shark), 977 nucleotides long. RefSeq lists it as uncharacterized. The record is from RefSeq and is a predicted model, not a curated record. The transcript has 2 exons. Lineage: Eukaryota; Metazoa; Chordata; Chondrichthyes; Orectolobiformes; Hemiscylliidae.
AGCCGCGGGACGGCGGUUGGUUCGUCUUCUCUUCUCCGGGGGUUUCGGCUGCACCGGACUCAGGAGAUUGCAGGGAAAUGAAUUCAGAAGAGAGUCGUGAAGUCGCUCCGAUCCAGACUGAGGGGGACUGUGUGAACCUUGGAAGUUAUAAACAUCACUGCUGUCAUCAUUUUUUUGCUGUUUCUGCGCCCACCUCUACUUCUUUCAACCGCCUGUGCUGAAGGUUGAAAUUCUAUUUAAGAUUUUCCAGUCUCCACUCGAUCUAAGUGAGGGUCACCUCUCAUUGUGAGAUUAGAGGCUCUGAGACAUGGCCUCACAGUGUGGUUUCUACAGGAUAUCUCUGCCUCAAUGUUUCUUGCUGGGGACAUGCGCAGGCAUGAAGGAGCCAGAAUGGGACUCUGUCUCAGCUGCAGUGGAACACUGUAACAAUUACACUCAAUAUUCGUAGGUACGUUACUCCAGGUUCCUGCUCACUACCGUACUCAGUCAGCCUGCUGGAAGGUGAAUCUGAGUGGGAGUGAAAGGGGACUGUGCCUCUCAGCUGAGAGGGAAUCCUCUGCCAAUAACAUCCACCCUCUGGGUUCACUCAGUGACAGCUCUGUUUUGGAUAUUCCUGGGUUUGUCUUUUCCUGGAGUCGGGCUCCACAAUCGAGCAGCUCCAGGGAGAGAGAAAUAAAUGAUAAGCUUGUGAAUGGAACAGUGAGCACAAAACCUUGGGUUCCUGGUAACUACACAAACCAAUGUGUCCACAGGAGUAAGUUGCAGGACUCUAUUGGGAGCUAUUUCUCACUGAGUGACAGAAUUUUCCUACACUUUGUUAGAAUGAUCUCCUCACUGUGUUGCAUUAUAUUGAAUUAUUUCCGGUAUUGCUUUUUCUUUUGAAGAGACCAUUCUAUCAGUGAUUGUAUAGUGACUGGAAAUGGCAGAAUGGAAGCAUGUAUGAGAACCAAAUAUUAAAACAAAACCUUCUGAUCACA